Molecule: ribosomal RNA, 253 nt
Filed under: uncultured bacterium
Lineage: Bacteria
Description: partial 16S ribosomal RNA
Rfam family: Bacterial small subunit ribosomal RNA
Source: RNAcentral
UACGGGGGGGGCAAGCGUUGUUCGGAAUUACUGGGCGUAAAGGGCGCGUAGGCGGUUUGCUAAGUUGAAUGUGAAAACUCUGGGCUUAACCCAGAGCCUGCAUUCAAUACUGGCAGGCUGGAGUUCUGGAGGGGAUAGCGGAAUUCCUGGUGUAGCGGUGAAAUGCGUAGAUAUCACGAGGAACACCGGUGGCGAAGGCGGCUAUCUGGACAGAAACUGACGCUGAGGCGCGAAAGCUAGGGGAGCAAACAGG